AGACCCGAAACCCGGUGAUCUAGCCAUGGGCAGGUUGAAGGUUGGGUAACACUAACUGGAGGACCGAACCGACUAAUGUUGAAAAAUUAGCGGAUGACCUGUGGCUGGGGGUGAAAGGCCAAUCAAACCGGGAGAUAGCUGGUUCUCCCCGAAAGCUAUUUAGGUAGCGCCUCGUGAAUUCAUCUCCGGGGGUAGAGCACUGUUUCGGCUAGGGGGCCAUCCCGGCUUACCAACCCGAUGCAAACUGCGAAUACCGGAGAAUGUUAUCACGGGAGACACACGGCGGGUGCUAACGUCCGUCGUGAAGAGGGAAACAACCCAGACCGCCAGCUAAGGUCCCAAAGUCAUGGUUAAGUGGGAAACGAUGUGGGAAGGCCCAGACAGCCAGGAUGUUGGCUUAGAAGCAGCCAUCAUUUAAAGAAAGCGUAAUAGCUCACUGGUCGAGUCGGCCUGCGCGGAAGAUGUAACGGGGCUAAACCAUGCACCGAAGCUGCGGCAGCGAACGUAUCACUUAAAGCGAUUCAGCGGGUUACGAUUGACGGAGCGAAGCGACGUCAAAGCGUAUACAAAGUCGAGUCGGUUUAAGGAUACGUUCGUUGGGUAGGGGAGCGUUCUGUAAGCCUGUGAAGGUGGCCUGUGAGGGUUGCUGGAGGUAUCAGAAGUGCGAAUGCUGACAUAAGUAACGAUAAAGCGGGUGAAAAGCCCGCUCGCCGGAAGACCAAGGGUUCCUGUCCAACGUUAAUCGGGGCAGGGUGAGUCGACCCCUAAGGCGAGGCCG
This 778-nucleotide ribosomal RNA is filed under the name Salmonella enterica subsp. enterica serovar Thompson. RNAcentral's name for it is "partial 23S ribosomal RNA". It matches the Rfam family "Bacterial large subunit ribosomal RNA", at positions 711 to 1404 of the family's 2925-position model. Lineage: Bacteria; Pseudomonadati; Pseudomonadota; Gammaproteobacteria; Enterobacterales; Enterobacteriaceae. The record is from RNAcentral.